This 497-nucleotide ribosomal RNA is filed under the name uncultured bacterium. Its description in RNAcentral is "partial 16S ribosomal RNA". It matches the Rfam family "Bacterial small subunit ribosomal RNA", at positions 28 to 507 of the family's 1533-position model. The record is from RNAcentral.
GAUGAACGCUGGCGGCGUGCCUAAUACAUGCAAGUAGAACGUUGAAGCUUGGUGCUUGCACCGAGCGGAUGAGUUGCGCACGGGUGAGUAACGCGUAGGUAACCUGCCUCUUAGCGGGGGAUAACUAUUGGAAACGAUAGCUAAUACCGCAUAAAAGUCGAUAUCGCAUGAUAUUGAUUUGAAAGGUGCAAAUGCAUCACUAAGAGAUGGACCUGCGUUGUAUUAGCUAGUUGGUGAGGUAACGGCUCACCAAGGCGACGAUACAUAGCCGACCUGAGAGGGUGAUCGGCCACACUGGGACUGAGACACGGCCCAGACUCCUACGGGAGGCAGCAGUAGGGAAUCUUCGGCAAGGGGGGCAACCCUGACCGAGCAACGCCGCGUGAGUGAAGAAGGUUGUCGGAUCGUAAAGCUCGGUUGUAAGAGAAGAACGAGUGUGAGAGUGGAAAGUUCACACUGUGACGGUAACUUACCAGAAAGGGACGGCUAACUACGUG